AUGUUCUGCACCUUCCCCUCCCUUCCCCUACCCACACCCAUCCUCACACAUGCUCCUCCCUGCCCCUGACACUGACAACCUAGCAAUCACUAGGAGAAAAGCCUGGCAUGUGUGGGAGCCACCCUCAGAGAAGCUGUCCCGAAAGAGAGGUGCUAACUAGGUGAAGACAUAUGACUUUCUGAGCACUAUUUCUUAAUACUAAUGGAGGGAGAUUGUGGCAUGGAGCCAGGAAAGAGAAAAGGCAUGAAAAGAAGAACUAAUUUGGAGCUGGCGGGGUGAGUGUUUUCUGGCUUAUUUAAAAACGUAGAUACAGAAUUCAAACAGGGAAGAGGAAUCUGACUACCAGAUGGAGAUAGGAUGUCAACAAUGGAGUCGACAAUGGCCAGGCAUGAAGGGAUAUAUUUUGACAUCAGGGAAGCCAUAUAAAGAAUACUGCUUGGUGGAUCGGAUGGGUUCAUCUUAUAUUCAGUGUUUCAUUUCCACUUAAAUGCCUUGGAAGCAGAGGUUGAGGUUACUGACUUGGCCCCAUAUUAAGGAAAAAUCAUAACCCAGGCCUUCAGAGACCUUCCAGGCUACAAGGGAAAAAGUCAAACAUGUGGCUAAUGGGCAUAUAUAAGGAUCUUCACUGAACACGGACUUUUGAAUGUCUAUGAUGUAGCAAGCACUGUGCUGGACACCACAUAAGCCAGAGUCCCUUCCCUCAGGGAACAUCCCUUAAACAUGGCAAACCUAUGGAGGUGUGCCAGGACAAGGGUACUCAGAAGGGUGGUAUGGUAUACUGGGAAGCUCACAGACCACCUUGCUUUGAGUGCCUCUCAGCCGCUCUCUUGCUCUGUGAUUUUAAGGAAGUCCUUGAACCUCUCUGAGCCUGCUUUUUCCAUCUGCAGAUCGGUGAUAAUGAAACCUACCUUGCUGUUUCAUGUUGAGGAAUCACUGCGGGAAGGGUUGAUUUUGGCAGCAGGAGCCUGUACGCUGUGCUAAUUCUCCAUCUCAGGAAGAAACAGAAUCAUGAAGUCUAAAGAAACUGAGGUCUCCUAAAGUGCUGCCUGUCAGUUGAAGCCAACAAGAAACCAGAUGGCCCAGGAGUCUUGUUGACGUGGUCCAUGUAGACCAAUCUCCCAGAGAAGAGCAAAGGUGGUGUAAGGGAGGACAGAUUAUUCCUCUACCCUCUUAGGUUCUGCAGCUGGGCCUGAGAAUUAAACUGACAAAAGACAGAUUAAAGGAGAAAAGCAUAUACAUUUUAUUUGAUGUUAAUAUUUUUGCAUGGCAUAGGAGCCUUCAUAGAAAAAAG
This 1291-nucleotide long non-coding RNA is filed under the name Rhinopithecus bieti (black snub-nosed monkey). RNAcentral describes it as "lncRNA (ENSRBIG00000046688.1)". Lineage: Eukaryota; Metazoa; Chordata; Mammalia; Primates; Cercopithecidae. The record is from RNAcentral.